UAGGGAAUCUUCGGCAAUGGGGGGAACCCUGACCGAGCAACGCCGCGUGAGUGAAGAAGGUUUUCGGAUCGUAAAGCUCUGUUGUUAAGGAAGAACGAGUGUGAGAAUGGAAAGUUCAUGCUGUGACGGUACUUAACCAGAAAGGGACGGCUAACUACGUGCCAGCAGCCGCGGUAAUACGUAGGUCCCGAGCGUUGUCCGGAUUUAUUGGGCGUAAAGCGAGCGCAGGCGGUUAGAAAAGUCUGAAGUGAAAGGCAGUGGCUCAACCAUUGUAGGCUUUGGAAAGUGUUUAACUUGAGUGCAGAAGGGGAGAGUGGAAUUCCAUGUGUAGCGGUGAAAUGCGUAGAUAUAUGGAGGAACACCGGUGGCGAGAGCGGCUCUCUGGUCUGUAACUGACGCUGAGGCUCGAAAGCGUGGGGAGCGAACAGG
Molecule: ribosomal RNA, 429 nt
Filed under: Verrucomicrobiota bacterium
Lineage: Bacteria; Pseudomonadati; Verrucomicrobiota
Description: Verrucomicrobia bacterium partial 16S ribosomal RNA
Rfam family: Bacterial small subunit ribosomal RNA
Source: RNAcentral